CAGGUGCAGGCGGACCAGGUCGAAGCCGGUGCGCUGGAACUGCGCCCGGAACUCGGUGCCGAGCCGGCCGGCGCGGUCCCACGUCGCGGUGUAUGC
This 96-nucleotide transfer RNA is filed under the name Dactylosporangium sucinum. RNAcentral describes it as "tRNA-Ser". The record is from RNAcentral. Lineage: Bacteria; Bacillati; Actinomycetota; Actinomycetes; Micromonosporales; Micromonosporaceae.